CAGUAGCCACGGUAAUACGAAGGGUGCAAGCGUUACUCGGAAUUACUGGGCGUAAAGCGUGCGUAGGUGGUGGUUUAAGUCCGUUGUGAAAGCCCUGGGCUCAACCUGGGAAUUGCAGUGGAUACUGGGUCACUAGAGUGUGGUAGAGGAUAGUGGAAUUUCCGGUGUAGCAGUGAAAUGCGUAGAGAUCGGAAGGAACAUCUGUGGCGAAGGCGACUAUCUGGGCCAACACUGACACUGAGGCACGAAAGCGUGGGGAGCAAACAGGAUCAGAUACCCGGGUAGUCCCUGUCUCUUAUAC
Molecule: ribosomal RNA, 301 nt
Filed under: uncultured bacterium
Lineage: Bacteria
Description: partial 16S ribosomal RNA
Rfam family: Bacterial small subunit ribosomal RNA
Source: RNAcentral